Molecule: non-coding RNA, 1223 nt
Organism: Oryzias latipes (Japanese medaka)
Lineage: Eukaryota; Metazoa; Chordata; Actinopteri; Beloniformes; Adrianichthyidae
Source: RefSeq, a predicted model, not a curated record
UCUCAAUGGCGGCGGCCUCCUGCGUAAAGACAUCAACAGACGGUUUGGAAACGGCGAUACAAGCAGACACGGAUGUACAAAAGUCCCAACUGCUUUGGUUUGAUCCUUUUCAGUUCAUCUCAAAACUCCACAUUUAAUAGAAAAAGUUUCCUAAAGGCAAUAUUGUAUUUUCCGCUUUUAUUUUGAAAAACCAACUUUUUACCUUCAGGUUUUUAUUGUGUUUCGUGUUUUGAUUCACUUAUGCUUUAUGUGAUGCUUUUCAUGUUUUUUUACGAUGGGGACGCCGCCAUCUCUGAACCGGAUGUAACCAGUGAUUGGUCCAAGUCGACGUUUCUAUGGCAACCACUCUUUCCAAUCAGACGUCUGUGGCAUUUUGGCUUCUUGGAGCCACUUCCUGUUUGGAACGCCAAGAGGGAGGAGUCUCUCAGUCCAGUUCUCAUUUACAGUCAAUAGCAGUGAUGACGUUCUCCCAUUUCCUUCAUUCUACGUUGAUCCUGGUUUGACCCUGUAACUUUGGCGAAAACUACCACCAGUACACGCGUGUGGAAGCUACAUCUACAUGUGACAGCAGACACGCCGUUUGGAAAAGAAAGCAGUAGGGUUAACCCUAACACUGACCCUUAAAGGACACAUCUAUCCACUUCAAAAAACCAAAAGUGUGUUAGGAAACAAACGGAAGACAGUCGUCCAGGAAGUUAAAACUGGUCUGCCAGCAAUCCAGAGCAGCGCCGCACAGCAGAGACGUGACCUCAGAAGGCGACGGCGGCGGGAAUGACAUCCGGAAUCAAAGAGGAAUGCAGGGAAUUGGACAGCCGUGGUCCUUCUGGCGUGCCAAACGUGCACAGUGUGACGUGACACGUUAGCAGACACACCUCUGAGGUUUUUCACAAUAAGAUGUUUGGUGUCAGAAUGACCCGUUGUGAUUUUGAGAUUCCAUCGGCUUCCCUUGUCCUACGGGUCAAAACAGAACCACUCCACCACAGCCCCCAAAAUGAAGCAACUUCAUUGAAUUUUAAAAUGUAAAAUCUAUUGUUGAAACAACAUGUUACUUUUUUUUAUCAUAUUUUCUGUUACUCAACACAAAAUCCCUUUUAAGCUUAUUUCUGAUUUAAUUAAACUGAAAACUGGAAAAAAAAGUUCUCAAUCUGGAAUUUCCUUCCGUUUUCAUAUUCUUCAUGAAGUGAAUUAUAAAAACCCUUUAAUCAUCCCGCAAAACAACAAAA